This 859-nucleotide ribosomal RNA is filed under the name uncultured Neocallimastigales. RNAcentral's name for it is "partial large subunit ribosomal RNA". It matches the Rfam family "Eukaryotic large subunit ribosomal RNA", at positions 1 to 632 of the family's 3401-position model. The record is from RNAcentral. Lineage: Eukaryota; Fungi; Neocallimastigomycota; Neocallimastigomycetes; Neocallimastigales.
CUAUACAUGACUCUGCGCAUAUCAAUAAGCGGAGGAAAAGGCAUACCUACGCUUAGGAUGUUGACGAGACUGUCGAUCUCAUCUAUACACGACUCUGUGCAUAUCAAUAAGCGGAGGAAAAGAAACUAACAAGGAUUCCCCUUAGUAACGGCGAGUGAAGCGGGAAGAGCUCAAAUUUGAAAUCUUCAAGGUUUUACCUUGACGAAUUGUAGUUUAAGGAAGUGCUUUUCUGCUGAGGUUUUGGUAAAAGUUCUUUGGAAUAGGACAUCAUAGAGGGUGAGAAUCCCGUAUUUGACCAUUACUUUCAAGCUUUGUGAUACACUUUCAAAGAGUCGGAUUGUUUGGGAAUGCAGUCCAAAAUGGGUGGUAAAUUUCAUCUAAAGCUAAAUAUUGGCGAGAGACCGAUAGCGAACAAGUACCGUGAGGGAAAGAUGAAAAGAACUUUGAAAAGAGAGUUAAACAGUACGUGAAAUUGUCAAAAGGGAAGCGUUUGACACCAGUGUUGUUUUCUCGAAAAUCAAUUAAAAAUGGCUCGAUUUUGUAUUGUUGAGACCUUAAAAGCUCACUGUACAUUUUUCGUGUCUUUUUUAAUGCACUUUUCGUUUAACAAGUCAACAUCAGUUUCUUUUGUUGUAAAAGGGUCAUUGGUAGGUGGCUUUCUUUUCGGAGAAAGUGUUUAUAGCCUUUGGCCUCUGCAAUCGGAGAGACUGAGGUCUGCAGCGUAGACUCUUCGGGGUUAGAUACAUUUGUGCUAAGUUAUAGCUUUUUAUAGACAACUUGUUGACUAUAAUUAGUCUUGUAGCUUACUCGCUUAUGCUAUUUUACCUACGCUUAGGAUGUUGACAGCAGUAUAGACUGU